UUUACUUUGAAAAAAUUAGAGUGUUCAAGGCGGGCCCGACGCGCCCGGAUAACCGCGCAUGGAAUGAUGGAACAGGACCGCCGUCCCGUUCGGCCGGUCUCAGGGACGGAGGUAAUGAUUGAAAGGGACGGCCGGGGGCAUUCGUACCGCGGCGGGAGAGGUGAAAUUCGAUGAUCGUCGCGAGACGGCCCAGAGCGAAAGCAUCUGUCAAGAGCGCUUUCUUUAAUCAAGAACGAAAGUCGGAGGCU
This 248-nucleotide ribosomal RNA is filed under the name Mollusca sp. MM00730. RNAcentral describes it as "partial small subunit ribosomal RNA". It matches the Rfam family "Eukaryotic small subunit ribosomal RNA", at positions 751 to 998 of the family's 1831-position model. Lineage: Eukaryota; Metazoa; Mollusca. The record is from RNAcentral.